Molecule: long non-coding RNA, 1184 nt
Filed under: Taeniopygia guttata (zebra finch)
Lineage: Eukaryota; Metazoa; Chordata; Aves; Passeriformes; Estrildidae
Description: lncRNA (ENSTGUG00000022000.1)
Source: RNAcentral
GAUUAGUGCUUGUGAAAUAGUCUGGGCUGUUCAUUUUCAUGGGAUUUAAGAGUGACUUACUGUUUGUGUCCUGAAAAUUGUUUGUUUUGCCGGAGGUCAUUUUGCACAGGAACUUAAAUUGCUGCCUUGACUCUCCUUUUGUGUAAGUUGUCCAAGUUGGGAGCUGUGUGUUCUAUAACAACCUCUUCUUGUCUGUGACAGCAGCAUUUUGAGACCUGCCCUAAUCAGAGUUUUGAGUGGCACCACUCCAAAGUGUGCUGGAACUGCCUGAUUUGGAGGGAAGAGAGCAGAGAUGGGAAAGAACAGGUACAUCCAAUUGAGGGCCUUGCAGCAGCCACCUCAGAUGAAAACCUUUCCCAAAACCAAGAGAAACAAAAAGCUUCCUCAAAGUGGAUGGAGAUGCUGCACAGGCUGCCCUGCCUGAGCAUCUCUGCCCUGCUCUGGAUUAUUUAACUGGGUUCUGCAAACACAAUUUCAAACAGCAAACAGCUAAGCAAGGGGAGCAAGACAUAACCUUUGUUUCUGCAAGACCUACCAGAAGCUGACAAUGUGGGUACGUGGGCAAUGGGGAAAACAGCUUAUGCUUUAAGCUUCAUGUGACCUCUGGAGCUGCUGGGCUUUGGAAGGUGAGAGUGAGACAAUCCUCACAAGCACUUGAUCCCUCUUGAAAUUAAGGGGCUUUCCUGGGUACACAGCUUUCCCCCUUCCCUCCCAGAAGUGUAUCUGAUUUUUGGGGGUGGAAAAAAAGAGGAUUGAUUCAAAUAAAAAUGUAUUUGUAUGAGAAAAAUUAUUUCCUUCCAUGAGUAAACACAUAGUUUGAGGCAAAUUUAUGGCUUUGGCCUGGUCAUUAAUAUCUGGUUGUCAAAAAGUAUUGGUUUGAACAAAAAUAUGUUGUAAUAAAAAUGCAUUGUUUUGAAGAAAUUUAUUGUCCCCAUGAAAACCUAUUCAAUUCAGAAAGAUAUGUUGAUUUCAAUGAAAAUCUAUUUGUUUUAAGAGACAGAGAGAAGGAAGUUGCACUCAACUGAGAACCAGGGGCUUCUCUCUGUACAGAUCUCCCUGCAGUCCCUUGGCUAUUAGGAUGGGAAAAGCUGGAAAAUCAACAACUGGGCAGCAAAGGAAACCUGUAGGUCUUUCCUCUGCUCAGUGACCAUCCUCCCAGCUGAAGAAAAGUGCCCCAGUUCCCC